CGAACGCUGGCGGCGUGCUUAACACAUGCAAGUCGAACGGAAAGGCCCUGCUUUUGUGGGGUGCUCGAGUGGCGAACGGGUGAGUAACACGUGAGUAACCUGCCCUUGACUUUGGGAUAACUUCAGGAAACUGGGGCUAAUACCGGAUAGGAGCUCCUGCUGCAUGGUGGGGGUUGGAAAGUUUCGGCGGUUGGGGAUGGACUCGCGGCUUAUCAGCUUGUUGGUGGGGUAGUGGCUUACCAAGGCUUUGACGGGUAGCCGGCCUGAGAGGGUGACCGGCCACAUUGGGACUGAGAUACGGCCCAGACUCCUACGGGAGGCAGCAGUGGGGAAUAUUGCACAAUGGGCGGAAGCCUGAUGCAGCAACGCCCGCGUGCGGGGAUGACGGGCC
This 391-nucleotide ribosomal RNA is filed under the name Cutibacterium acnes. RNAcentral's name for it is "bacterial SSU rRNA". It matches the Rfam family "Bacterial small subunit ribosomal RNA", at positions 30 to 417 of the family's 1533-position model. Lineage: Bacteria; Bacillati; Actinomycetota; Actinomycetes; Propionibacteriales; Propionibacteriaceae. The record is from RNAcentral.